UACAGAGGUCUCAAGCGUUGUCCGGAAUCAUUGGGCGUAAAGAGCGUGUAGGCGGCUUGUUAAGUCUUGCGUGAAAUCUCGGGGCUCAACCCCGAGCGGUCGUGAGAAACUGGCAGGCUAGAGUGCGGGAGAGGAGAGUGGAAUUCCUGGUGUAGCGGUGAAAUGCGCAGAUAUCAGGAGGAACACCGGUGGCGAAGGCGGGACUCUGGGCCGAUACUGACGCUGAGGAGCGAAAGCGUGGGGAGCAAACAGG
Molecule: ribosomal RNA, 253 nt
Filed under: uncultured bacterium
Lineage: Bacteria
Description: partial 16S ribosomal RNA
Rfam family: Bacterial small subunit ribosomal RNA
Source: RNAcentral